RNA transcript from Erpetoichthys calabaricus (reedfish), 2134 nucleotides. It is a transcript of the gene named SEH1-like (S. cerevisiae), with no coding region annotated. The record is from RefSeq and is a predicted model, not a curated record. Lineage: Eukaryota; Metazoa; Chordata; Cladistia; Polypteriformes; Polypteridae. The transcript has 10 exons.
AGUUACUACAUCAGCUUGUGCGUCUUCGCCAAUGAGCGGUAAACUUGUUUCGGGCUACGGUCAGAGGCCUGAUGUAACGCUGCUGAUUGUUCGUUUUUCUUCCCAUUGUUUUAUGAACGCAACCUCGGUGUUGCAGACGCUCGUCUAGCAAUGUUUGUUGCUCGGAGUAUACCUGCGGAUCACAAGGACUUAAUCCACGAUGUUUCUUAUGAUUUUCACGGUAGGAGGAUGGCGACCUGCUCUAGUGACCAGAGCGUCAAGGUAUGGGAUAAAGGUGAAAAUGGCGAAUGGCACUGCACUGCAAGCUGGAAGACACACAGUGGUUCGGUUUGGAGAGUUAUGUGGGCGCACCCAGAGUUCGGCCAGGUCUUGGCUUCCUGUUCUUUUGAUAGGACCGCAGCUGUCUGGGAAGAAAUUGUUGGGGAAUCCAAUGAUAAGCAACGUGGACAAAGUCAUUGGAUAAAAAGAACCACACUUGUUGACAGUCGGACCUCGGUGACGGAUGUAAAAUUUGCACCAAAACAUAUGGGACUUAUGCUUACAACGUGUUCAGCCGAUGGUGUGGUGAGGAUAUAUGAGGCGCCAGAUGUGAUGAACCUGAGCCAGUGGUCUCUACAACAUGAAAUUUCUUGUAAGCUCAGCUGUAGUUGUAUUUCUUGGAAUCCUUCAAGUUCCCGUGCUCAUUCCCCUAUGCUUGCAGUUGGAAGUGAUGACAACAAUCCAAAUCUUGUUGGCAAAGUUCAUAUUUAUGAAUACAACGAAAAUACCCGGAAAUAUGCAAAGGCAGAGACUCUCUCUAUGGUCACGGAUCCAGUGCAUGAUGUUGCAUUUGCACCAAACCUUGGAAGAUCUUUCCAUGUAUUAGCUGUUGCAACAAAAGAUGUGUGCAUUUUCAAUCUGGUACCCCUUCGGAGAGAACCAAACAGUACUUCAGGUCCAACAAAAUUUGACAUCCAAACAGUGGCUCAGUUUGAGCAUCAUAAUUCUCAAGUCUGGAGGGUGAGCUGGAAUAUAACCAGUACUCUGUUGGCUUCAUCAGGGGACGAUGGGUGUGUACGUCUAUGGAAAGCUAAUUACAUGGGUAACUGGAAAUGUACUGGGAUUUUGAAAGGUGAUGGAACUCCUGUGAAUGGCACUUCCAAUCAGCAUGGAAUGUUAACAUCACCUUUGGGGUCAGCAAAUCAGACUAUUCAGGGCUCACUAAAUGGUACUUCAGCCAGCAGAAAGAAAGGACAGCUGAUACCGAGCUAACUGGAGUAUCUUUGCUGUUUUGCUGCUUGUUGCAUGCACACAGGAACGGAAAGAGAACUCCGUUUUCCCCUUCCCUGCGCCGACUGACCUCUCCCAAGAAAUACCAACAGUCUGUUAAUUACUAAUCACAAACCUCAAGGAUGUUUUAUUUUCUGCAGUUUGUUAUAUAUUAUUGAACUUGUCUGGAAAUGAUAUAUUAAUAAAUGCUCAUUACUCCUUUGAUGUGUUUGUUUAACACAUUUACUUUCCUCCAGAAAACGGGCAGCACGUGACACGCAGAUAUAAUCAAAGGUUUGAAUUUGUCAUACAAGAUUGGGAAUCGUUAAUUAUUUAACUGUUUAGGACUAUGCAUAAGUUUCAUAGGAAAAUGUACCCCCCACCCCCCAAAAAAUCCUGAAACCUGUUUUGUGAAAAGCUUUGGCUUUCCUUGUGUAUUGUUCACUUCUCAUAUUCUUCAGGUGUGCUUUUUUUGUUUGUUGAGUUUUUGUUUCCUCUUCACAUUUAAAAGCUUUUACAGACUUUUCCCGCUAGAGACAUUCGGCGACUUUUUCUGUGCUUAAUUUUUUUUAUUUUUAUUUUGAUUAUUAUUUUCUUUGGCAUGGUUAUUUUCUAAACUGUUUUACAGCAUGAAGUCUCCUCUUCCCUUCCUUUGUAUUUACUACCUUUCUCUUGUUUUGUUUUUAUUUUUUUCUCUUUUUUUUUUGUUGUUGUCUUUCUGUCUCCAUUGUUUCAGGUAUUUCUUUCCCCCUCUGGAGCCCCCUCGUGCUGGAUCGAGAUGGUCCAGCUAUGCCCAGCUUCUUCCUCCACCUACUCUGAUAGAACAAACUUGUGACGCUGACACUGCCAGCCAUCAGCUUCCUCACCCUCGCAGACGAUAUACAAC